AUUCGCUAUAUAGACAGCUACCUUUUCAAUGAAGAACUCUGGUUGGUGAUGGAAUAUGUGGAGGGAUGCACCUUAGCUGCUGUGGUUUCCAAACAAGCUCUUGAGGAAGAGAUGAUAGCCUCUAUCAGUCGGGAGUGCCUGAAAGGACUGGACUUCCUUCAUUCAAUUCUAGUGAUUCACAGUGUAG
Long non-coding RNA from Corapipo altera (White-ruffed manakin), 187 nucleotides. RefSeq lists it as uncharacterized. The record is from RefSeq and is a predicted model, not a curated record. The transcript is spliced from 3 exons. Lineage: Eukaryota; Metazoa; Chordata; Aves; Passeriformes; Pipridae.